GUCCACGCCGUAAACGAUGAAUGCCAGCCGUUAGUGGGUUUACUCACUAGUGGCGCAGCUAACGCUUUAAGCAUUCCGCCUGGGGAGUACGGUCGCAAGAUUAAAACUCAAAGGAAUUGACGGGGCCCGCACAAGCGGUGGAGCAUGUGGUUUAAUUCGACGCAACGCGAAGAACCUUACCAGCCCUUGACAUCCCGGUCGCGGAUUCCAGAGACGGAGUCCUUCAGUUCGGCUGGACCGGAGACAGGUGCUGCAUGGCUGUCGU
RNAcentral lists this ribosomal RNA (265 nucleotides) under uncultured bacterium. Its description in RNAcentral is "partial 16S ribosomal RNA". It matches the Rfam family "Bacterial small subunit ribosomal RNA", at positions 793 to 1055 of the family's 1533-position model. The record is from RNAcentral.